UCACUUCAGCAGCAAAUAUACUAAAAUUGAAACAAUACAGAGAUUAGUAUAGCCCUUGCAUAAGGAUAGUAUGCAAAUUUGUGAAGUGUUCCAUAUUUUU
Small nuclear RNA from Loxodonta africana (African savanna elephant), 100 nucleotides. The record is from Ensembl. NCBI's taxonomy places the organism in Eukaryota, Metazoa, Chordata, Mammalia, Proboscidea, Elephantidae.